This 428-nucleotide ribosomal RNA is filed under the name uncultured archaeon. RNAcentral describes it as "bacterial SSU rRNA". It matches the Rfam family "Archaeal small subunit ribosomal RNA", at positions 44 to 473 of the family's 1478-position model. The record is from RNAcentral.
UUAAGCCAUGCGAGUCGAACGAGUUUAGGCUCGUGGCGUACGGCUCAGUAACACGUGGAUAACCUACCCUUAGGACCGGGAUAACCUUGGGAAACUGAGGAUAAUACUGGAUAGGCAAUUAUUUCUGCAAUGGUUUUUUGUUUAAAUGUUUUUUUCGCCUAAGGAUGGGUCUGCGGCCGAUUAGGUAGUUGGUUAGGUAAAGGCUUACCAAGCCGUUGAUCGGUACGGGUUGUGAGAGCAAGAGCCCGGAGAUGGAACCUGAGACAAGGUUCCAGGCCCUACGGGGUGCAGCAGGCGCGAAACCUCCGCAAUGUGAGAAAUCGCGACGGGGGGAUCCCAAGUGCCAUUCUUAACGGGAUGGCUUUUCAUUAGUGUAAAGAGCUUUUGGAAUAAGGGCUGGGCAAGACCGGUGUCAGCCGCCGCGGUAA